GAUGAACGCUGGCGGCGUGCCUAGUACAUGCAAGUCGAGCGAACAGACGAGGAGCUUGCUCCUCUGACGUUAGCGGCGGACGGGUGAGUAACACGUGGAUAACCUACCUAUAAGACUGGGAUAACUUCGGGAAACCGGAGCUAAUACCGGAUAAUAUAUUGAACCGCAUGGUUCAAUAGUGAAAGACGGUUUUGCUGUCACUUAUAGAUGGAUCCGCGCCGCAUUAGCUAGUUGGUAAGGUAACGGCUUACCAAGGCAACGAUGCGUAGCCGACCUGAGAGGGUGAUCGGCCACACCGGAACUGAGACACGGUCCAGACUCCUACGGGAGGCAGCAGUAGGGAAUCUUCCGCAAUGGGCGAAAGCUUGACGGAGCAACGCCGCGUGAGUGAUGAAGGUCUUCGGAUCGUAAAACUCUGUUAUUAGGGAAGAACAAAUGUGUAAGUAACUAUGCACGUCUUGACGGUACCUAAUCAGAAAGCCACGGCUAACUACGUG
RNAcentral lists this ribosomal RNA (497 nucleotides) under uncultured bacterium. RNAcentral describes it as "partial 16S ribosomal RNA". It matches the Rfam family "Bacterial small subunit ribosomal RNA", at positions 28 to 507 of the family's 1533-position model. The record is from RNAcentral.